Octopus sinensis (East Asian common octopus) is the source of this 521-nucleotide long non-coding RNA. RefSeq lists it as uncharacterized. The record is from RefSeq and is a predicted model, not a curated record. The transcript is spliced from 2 exons. NCBI's taxonomy places the organism in Eukaryota, Metazoa, Mollusca, Cephalopoda, Octopoda, Octopodidae.
UUUGUUUGGUUGUUGUUGUUGUUGCUGCUGCUGCUGCUGCUACUGCUGCUGCUGCUACCACUGCUGCUACCACUGCUGCUUCUGUUGCCAUCUUGAUGUUAGGUGAGCAUCAGAUCAUGCAGACAUUAGAUUUGUCCUGUUGUCGACUUCUCAAUUUUCUCCCGGACCUUCCGAGGCUGAUUAACGAAACGCCACUAACAUACUAAUGCCGUCGCUGUAGCUGUGUGUCACCAACAUCGACGUACCUUACCAUCUUUCAGAAAACAUCAGAAAAAAAAAACAGAGCUUGUCAAGUAGUGACAGGACUGAGUAAAACCAAUUAUACUCUGACCACUCAAAUUUCUGACCUUACUGUAAUUAGAAAGGCAAGAUUGUUAGAGCACAGAACAAAAGGCUCUUUAGAUUCUGAGAUCAAACAAUCUGAAAUGAACUUUACUUUCCAUACUUCUGUGUCAAUAAAAUAAAGUAUCUGGUUGGACUCAUACCUACACAAGAAAUAAUUGUUAAUUUUAAUAAUUAGG